UUUUCCCCUAAAUUUUUUUUUCUUCCCAUUUUGCCCUUCUACAAGAUCUCUAUAUCCUCCAUCCCUCUAUAUUUCCCGGUGUAAAUUCCACCAAAUUUGAGGGCAUUUUCGGAUAAUUUUAUCGAUUUUUUAAUAUUUCGCCGGAAAAGUUCCAUUGGAAAUGACGGGAAAUAUUGGGGCAUGAGGUAUUCGUUUGUGGGGAUAGAAUUAUGAGGGGAUCUCUUUGGCCGGAGAAUUCAAGUAGUGAUUCAUCUACGUCAAAUCCGAUUCAUGUACCGCCGCCGCCGCCGCCGCCGGGAUGGAAUUCGCCUGCUCUUCCGAUUGAGCAAAACCCUAAUUGCAAAAACAGAUGUGGUAAUGUCUUUCAGCUACUAACGAAGAGGGAGGUAUCUCCUCGAGCUAAACGUAGUUCUAAGAAGUUAUGGGAUGAGAAUUCUAAAUAUUGUGCUCAUUCCUAUGAGAAGUUAAAAAGCCAAGUAGCAAGAGACCCGAGACGGGGUCUUAUAUCAUGGGUAGAGGCAGAAUCAUUGAGACAUUUUUCAGCUAAGUAUUGUCCACUGUUGCCUCCGCCUAGGUCUACAAUUGCUGCGGCAUUCAGUCCUGAUGGGAAGACACUUGCUUCUACUCAUGGAGAUCACACAGUAAAGAUAAUUGACUGCCAAAGCGGGAAAUGCUUGAAGGUGUUAAGUGGACAUCGCAGGACUCCUUGGGUGGUUCGUUUCCAUCCACUCUACUCUGAGAUAGUUGCAAGUGGAAGUUUGGACCAUGAAGUUCGUUUAUGGGAUGCAAAAACCGCCGAGUGUAUAGGAUCACGUGAUUUUUACCG
RNAcentral lists this unclassified non-coding RNA (826 nucleotides) under Hevea brasiliensis (rubber tree). Lineage: Eukaryota; Viridiplantae; Streptophyta; Magnoliopsida; Malpighiales; Euphorbiaceae. The record is from RNAcentral.